RNAcentral lists this transfer RNA (49 nucleotides) under Heterosigma akashiwo. Its description in RNAcentral is "partial tRNA". Lineage: Eukaryota; Raphidophyceae; Chattonellales; Chattonellaceae. The record is from RNAcentral.
AACGGUAGAAUGCGUGCCUCCCAAUCUUGCGAUGCGAGUUCGAUCCCGG